GCCUCUGCGCUAUUCUACUUCUCACCAGCAGCCUAAUUUUGAAAGCUAAGAAGGGUCAGGCUUGAUUAGUCUUUAGACAGGAGACCACUCUGGAACACCAAGUGCUGUAGGCA
Molecule: ribosomal RNA, 113 nt
Filed under: Salvator merianae (Argentine black and white tegu)
Lineage: Eukaryota; Metazoa; Chordata; Lepidosauria; Squamata; Teiidae
Source: RNAcentral